Magnolia sinica is the source of this 109-nucleotide small nucleolar RNA. Lineage: Eukaryota; Viridiplantae; Streptophyta; Magnoliopsida; Magnoliales; Magnoliaceae. The record is from RefSeq and is a predicted model, not a curated record.
UAGCUAUGAUGUGGGCAAGUAGGAAGUAAUUCCUUAAACCGUUCUCAACAAUCAAAGAAAGUUUCAUCUCCUUUUUGGGAGAAGUUUAUUAUGUCCUGUUUCAAAGUGU